This 28-nucleotide non-coding RNA is filed under the name Bombyx mori (domestic silkworm). Lineage: Eukaryota; Metazoa; Arthropoda; Insecta; Lepidoptera; Bombycidae. The record is from RNAcentral.
CGCAUCAAGAACUCCGGCUACCACAAUC